Molecule: non-coding RNA, 1415 nt
Organism: Coturnix japonica (Japanese quail)
Lineage: Eukaryota; Metazoa; Chordata; Aves; Galliformes; Phasianidae
Source: RefSeq, a predicted model, not a curated record
AUGAUUAUAGUCUACAACAGAAAAAGCAAAUAUCAAGUGAACUUCUCCAUGGCAGCAAUUCCAGGCAGUCUCACCCGGUGAACUACUUACAGCAGAAAGGCAAACUUCAGCUGGAUCAGAAGAAUACAAAACCUCAGAGUCACUCUUUGACAUGUGAAUGGAAAAAGUACUCGCCCAAAUGUCAGGUAAUCUACAUAUGACUAACUCUACUGUGGCGCACAAUACAAAGAAUAUAAAAAUACUCUUUUUAUUAGAGGCCAAGAACAAGCUGUCAGAGUUUGCAGAGCAAAAUGUAAUUGCUUCCAGUUAUUAUUCCCAUAUAAUAAUCCUAUGGUCAAAAAGCUACUUCUCCAGACAAUUUGAGCUCAUAUCUUUUACAGCAAGACAAUAUUAAAUAUUUUGUGCAUACUAUUUACACAAAGGAAGAGGGCAAAGUCCUUACUUUGUUAUAACAUAAAUGAAGGAAGAUACAGAACAAUAAAUGCAGGAGAUGGAUGCACUGACUGACUAAUGGGUAAUAAGUGAAUUACUACAAAGAGGAGAACUGUGAAUUAAGAUUAAGAUUAAUGUAGCUCAUUAUUUACAAGCCUUUUGAGGCACAGAAAGUAAAAUGAUGGACUGCACAGAACUGGUAGGUACAGUAGCAAGACAGCAUGGCAGAACACAAGAGGAAAGGUCAAAGCAGCAGCAUGCAGGCAAAAUGCUGAGCUCUUAAAGACAGGAGGAUAGAGUGGAACAUGGUACUACUAAGCAGUAGUCAAAACAAGCCCAUGCUUCAGAAUAAGCCACUGCAGGAAAAGAGUGUUGCUGAUGCCACUUUCAGCCUUACUAGGUACAGUGAGUAGCAGCCCCAAGAGCACUGAUAUUUUUAAGGUCAUCCAUUGCUAUUGUGCACACACAAAAAGGAGUUUGUUGCUUUGCCAAAUACUGCAGAAUCCUAAAAUGAGCAGAGAGGAAACAGGAACACUGCGGUAUCAGCUUCUCAGUCUAAUGCAAGGAGCCACAACUAUUGUUUCCUGGAAAAGAAUUUCAACUUAACAGACUGUAAGCAUGAACGUCACAGCGGUCUUCUUGAUUUUCUUAAGACUUUUAUGGGAGGAGAGGAAACCAGCCAACAGCUGCAUCACAGGGAAGAUGAUCAAAGAAACUUUACUUGUAUUUUUAGUCGUCCUGCUUCCUGAAUCCAAGGCAUCUCUUUAGCUGCUUCCUCCUGCCUGAGAGACCCCAGGCUGUAUUCUAGCAGUGUCACUCAUCUGCUAGUGAUGCAGUGCUUACAUCCACCACACUCUCUCUCUCUAAUUACUGUAAUCUGUGCUUCUGUGAUUUGGCAUCAGUAUUUGCAACCCACGCUAAUCAGAAAAUAUUAAAUUGUUCACCUUUGUACUGCAGGAUAUAUUAAAAUCAUAUGAGCUGCA